This 253-nucleotide ribosomal RNA is filed under the name uncultured bacterium. Its description in RNAcentral is "partial 16S ribosomal RNA". It matches the Rfam family "Bacterial small subunit ribosomal RNA", at positions 524 to 776 of the family's 1533-position model. The record is from RNAcentral.
UACGGGGGGGGCAAGCGUUGUUCGGAAUUACUGGGCGUAAAGGGCUCGUAGGUGGCCAACUAAGUCAGACGUGAAAUCCCUCGGCUUAACCGGGGAACUGCAUCUGAUACUGGAUGGCUUGAGUUUGGGAGAGGGAUGCGGAAUUCCAGGUGUAGCGGUGAAAUGCGUAGAUAUCUGGAGGAACACCGGUGGCGAAGGCGGCGGCCUGGGUUGACACUGACGCUGAGGCGCGAAAGCGUGGGGAGCAAACAGG